ACGGGUGAGUAACGCGUAGGAAUAUGCCUUAAAGUGGGGGACAACUUGGGGAAACUCAAGCUAAUACCGCAUAAUUUCUUAGGAAAAAAGCUGGGGACCUUCGGGCCUGGCGCUUUAAGAUUAGCCUGCGUCCGAUUAGCUAGUUGGUAGGGUAAAGGCCUACCAAGGCGACGAUCGGUAGCUGGUCUGAGAGGAUGGCCAGCCACACUGGAACUGAGACACGGUCCAGACUCCUACGGGAGGCAGCAGUGGGGAAUAUUGGACAAUGGGGGCAACCCUGAUCCAGCAAUGCCGCGUGUGUGAAGAAGGCCUGAGGGUUGUAAAGCACUUUCAGUGGGGAGGAGGGUUGAUAGUUUAAGAGACGAUUAACUGGACGUUACCCACAGAAGAAGCACCGGCUAACUCCGUGCCAGCAGCCGCGGUAAUACGGAGGGUGCGAGCGUUAAUCGGAAUUACUGGGCGUAAAGAGUUCGUAGGUGGUUGGAUAAGUUAUCUGUGAAAUCCCUGGGUUUAACCUGGGCAGGUCAGAUAAUACUGUUUGACUCGAGUAUGGGAGAGGGUAGUGGAAUUUCCGGUGUA
RNAcentral lists this ribosomal RNA (579 nucleotides) under uncultured bacterium. Its description in RNAcentral is "bacterial SSU rRNA". It matches the Rfam family "Bacterial small subunit ribosomal RNA", at positions 102 to 677 of the family's 1533-position model. The record is from RNAcentral.